RNAcentral lists this small RNA (120 nucleotides) under unclassified sequences. Its description in RNAcentral is "LOOT RNA". It matches the Rfam family "LOOT RNA". Rfam says of the family: Latescibacteria, OD1/Parcubacteria, OP11, TM7. Lineage (Microgenomates, aka OP11) The record is from Rfam by way of RNAcentral.
UGCCUAAACCCUAUAUUUCUAUGGGGCAUGGCAUAAAAUCCCUCGUAGGUAUCAAGCUCGUCGUCAGAGCACCUGCGAGGGUCAUGUCGGGAAACUGGCAUGGGUGGCCGUAAGGCCAUC